GCCAAGAAGGCCAACAGCAUCCUGGCCUGUAACAGAAAUAGCGUGGGCAGCCGGACUAGGGAAGAGAUUUUUCCCUUGUACUCAGCUCUGCUGAGGCCACACCUCAAAUACUAUUUCAGUUUUGGGACCCUCACUACAAAAAGGACAUCCAUGUACUGGUGUGAGCCCAAAGAAGGGCAACAAAGCUGGUGAAGGGUCUAGAGAACAAGUCUCAUGAAGAGCAGCUGAAGGAGCUGGGGUUGUUUAGCCUAGAGAAAAG
This is a long non-coding RNA of Oxyura jamaicensis (ruddy duck), 259 nucleotides long. RefSeq lists it as uncharacterized. Lineage: Eukaryota; Metazoa; Chordata; Aves; Anseriformes; Anatidae. The record is from RefSeq and is a predicted model, not a curated record. The transcript has 3 exons.